RNAcentral lists this long non-coding RNA (279 nucleotides) under Dromaius novaehollandiae (emu). RNAcentral's name for it is "lncRNA (ENSDNVG00000004782.1)". The record is from RNAcentral. Lineage: Eukaryota; Metazoa; Chordata; Aves; Casuariiformes; Dromaiidae.
AUGACUUCAAGUCUAUUAGUUCAUCGUUGCUUCAUUUUCCACAGCUGUAAAGUAGCAAUGGGAUGUAUGCCUAGCUGCUGCUCAGGUGAGGUCAAGAGGAGAAAGAGCAGAGAACAGUCAUGUCACUCGUCUGGAAGACCUUUCAAAAAAGUCUUCACCGAUACUAGAAAUGCACACAGUUUCAUUCUGCUCACAUCCAGCACUGAGAAAGUUGACCAGUUGACCGCUUCACCCUAUAAUUCGGUUUCUGCAGCACCUUCCUCCUAUAGAAAUUGUUGA